RNAcentral lists this long non-coding RNA (790 nucleotides) under Lynx canadensis (Canada lynx). Its description in RNAcentral is "lncRNA (ENSLCNG00005007861.1)". Lineage: Eukaryota; Metazoa; Chordata; Mammalia; Carnivora; Felidae. The record is from RNAcentral.
GGGAGGCGGCCGACGGCGGGAGUUGGGGGGGGCGGGGCCCCGGCCUGGGGAACGGUCGCGGAGGGCGGGGCGGCCCGGUAGAGGCCACGACCGUGCAGACCGGCCGCCGCCAGAAGAGAGGAAGCGUGAGAAACGACGACACCCUGCCGGUGGCGACAACGUGGACCCAAGGCCCUCGUGUACAAACUGAAAAACACACAGAGACACAACGCUGAUGUAGCAGCGACACCGGCGGGUCACUGUCGUGCACCUGAGACCAGUGGAGCACGUGUGCCAAGUGCACUUCCGCUGAAAGAGGAAGGGAGCAAAUCCGUGCCCACUGCCAGGACAUCAAGGGUGUGAGAACGGCCACGCGCAUGACCAGGAUUCCCUGAAAAGGCCUCGCUGGCAUCCCGUCCCCGGUACGUGGACUCACGGAGGGUUGGUGUGGGGUCCUCGGGCAGACCUGGGGGUGGCCUCCCGGGAGGGCGAGCUAGGCCCCCGCAGGCAGGAGUCACUUCCUGGAUGGCCCAUGAGCAUCCCUGGGUCCUACGGGAGGAGCGUGACCCGGGGAGGAGAGCCCAGCGCGGGGAGGUUUUGGUCAGACAGACAGACAGACGUGGCUUCGGAAGACUCCCCAGCCGACAGAUGCAGCUGCCUUCCUGCUGCCCUAUCACCUGGACCGGCUUCUGAGUCCCCAAACCCUGCUGGGUGGGCUUCUCCCCUCUGUCGUUGACAGAGACGCCGAGCGGGGAGGCUAGGCGCCCCCUCAAAGCCGCAGAGCCAACAAGGGGCCGGGGUCCUAGGCCCG